Molecule: ribosomal RNA, 1468 nt
Filed under: uncultured organism
Description: 16S ribosomal RNA
Rfam family: Bacterial small subunit ribosomal RNA
Source: RNAcentral
GCUGGCGGCGUGCCUAAUACAUGCAAGUCGAACGCUUCUUUCCUCCCGAGUGCUUGCACUCAAUUGGAAAGAGGAGUGGCGGACGGGUGAGUAACACGUGGGUAACCUACCCAUCAGAGGGGGAUAACACUUGGAAACAGGUGCUAAUACCGCAUAACAGUUUAUGCCGCAUGGCAUAAGAGUGAAAGGCGCUUUCGGGUGUCGCUGAUGGAUGGACCCGCGGUGCAUUAGCUAGUUGGUGAGGUAACGGCUCACCAAGGCCACGAUGCAUAGCCGACCUGAGAGGGUGAUCGGCCACACUGGGACUGAGACACGGCCCAGACUCCUACGGGAGGCAGCAGUAGGGAAUCUUCGGCAAUGGACGAAAGUCUGACCGAGCAACGCCGCGUGAGUGAAGAAGGUUUUCGGAUCGUAAAACUCUGUUGUUAGAGAAGAACAAGGACGUUAGUAACUGAACGUCCCCUGACGGUAUCUAACCAGAAAGCCACGGCUAACUACGUGCCAGCAGCCGCGGUAAUACGUAGGUGGCAAGCGUUGUCCGGAUUUAUUGGGCGUAAAGCGAGCGCAGGCGGUUUCUUAAGUCUGAUGUGAAAGCCCCCGGCUCAACCGGGGAGGGUCAUUGUAAACUGGGAGACUUGAGUGCAGAAGAGGAGAGUGGAAUUCCAUGUGUAGCGGUGAAAUGCGUAGAUAUAUGGAGGGAACCCCAGUGGCGAAGGGGGGCUCUCUGGUCUGUAACUGACGUUGAGGCUUGAAAGCGUGGGGAGCAAACAGGAUUAGAUACCUUGGUAGUCCACGCCGUAAACGAUGAGUGUUAAGUGUUGGAGGGUUUCCGCCUUUCAGUGCUGCAGCAAACGCAUUAAGCACUCCGCCUGGGGAGUACGACCGCAAGGUUGAAACUCAAAGGAAUUGACGGGGGCCCGCACAAGCGGUGGAGCAUGUGGUUUAAUUCGAAGCAACGCGAAGAACCUUACCAGGUCUUGACAUCCUUUGACCACUCUAGAGAUAGAGCUUUCCCUUCGGGGACAAAGUGACAGGUGGUGCAUGGUUGUUGUCAGCUCGUGUCGUGAGAUGUUGGGUUAAGUCCCGCAACGAGCGCAACCCUUAUUGUUAGUUGCCAUCAUUUAGUUGGGCACUCUAGCGAGACUGCCGGUGACAAACCGGAGGAAGGUGGGGAUGACGUCAAAUCAUCAUGCCCCUUAUGACCUGGGCUACACACGUGCUACAAUGGGAAGUACAACGAGUCGCUAGACCGCGAGGUCAUGCAAAUCUCUUAAAGCUUCUCUCAGUUCGGAUUGCAGGCUGCAACUCGCCUGCAUGAAGCCGGAAUCGCUAGUAAUCGCGGAUCAGCACGCCGCGGUGAAUACGUUCCCGGGCCUUGUACACACCGCCCGUCACACCACGAGAGUUUGUAACACCCGAAGUCGGUGAGGUAACCUUUUUGGAGCCAGCCGCCUAAGGUGGGAUAGAU